GAUGAACGCUGGCGGCGUGCCUAAUACAUGCAAGUCGAGCGAACGGACGAGAAGCUUGCUUCUCUGAUGUUAGCGGCGGACGGGUGAGUAACACGUGGAUAACCUACCUAUAAGACUGGGGUAACUUCGGGAAACCGGAGCUAAUACCGGAUGAUAUUUUGAACCGCAUGGUUCAAAAGUGAAAGACGGUCUUGCUGUCACUUAUAGAUGGAUCCGCGCUGCAUUAGCUAGUUGGUAAGGUAAUGGCUUACCAAGGCAACGAUGCAUAGCCGACCUGAGAGGGUGAUCGGCCACACUGGAACUGAGACACGGUCCAGACUCCUACGGGAGGCAGCAGUAGGGAAUCUUCCGCAAUGGGCGAAAGCCUGACGGAGCAACGCCGCGUGAGUGAUGAAGGUCUUCGGAUCGUAAAACUCUGUUAUUAGGGAAGAACAUAUGUGUAAGUAACUGUGCACAUCUUGACGGUACCUAAUCAGAAAGCCACGGCUAACUACGUG
This 497-nucleotide ribosomal RNA is filed under the name uncultured bacterium. RNAcentral's name for it is "partial 16S ribosomal RNA". It matches the Rfam family "Bacterial small subunit ribosomal RNA", at positions 28 to 507 of the family's 1533-position model. The record is from RNAcentral.